GGGUGAUGAUGUAGCUGACCUAUCAUGGAGGAGCAGGGGUGAUGAUGUAGCUGACCUAUCAUGGAGGAGCAGGGAAGAUGAUGUAGCUGACCUAUCAUGGAGGAGCAGGGGUGAUGAUGUAGCUGACCUAUCAUGGAGGAGCAGAAUGAUGAUGUAGCUGACCUAUCAUGGAGAAGCAGGUUGAUGAUGUAGCUGACCUAUCAUGGAGGAGAAGGAUGAUGAUGUAGCUGACCUAUCAUGGAGGAGCAGGAUGAUGAUGUAGCUGACCUAUCAUGAAGGAGCAGGAUGAUGUAGCUGACCUAUCAUGGAGGAGCAGGGGUGAUAAUGUAGCUGACCUAUCAUGGAUGAGCAGGUGUGAUGAUGUAACUGACCUAUCAUGGAGGAGCAGGCUGAUGUAGCUGACCUAUCAUGGAGUAGCAGGGGUGAUGAUGUAGCUGACCUAUCAUGGAGGAGCAGGGGUGAUGAUGUAGCUGACCUAUCAUGGAGGAGCAGGGAUGAUGUAGCUGACCUAUCAUGGAGGAGCAGGAGUGAUGAUGUAGCUGACCUAUCAUGGAGGAGCAGGAUGAUGAUGUAGCUGACCUAUCAUGGAGGAGCAGGGUGAUGAUGUAGCUGACCUAUCAUGGAGGAGCAGGAUGAUGUAGCUGACCUAUCAUGGAGGAG
This 660-nucleotide long non-coding RNA is filed under the name Salmo salar (Atlantic salmon). Its description in RNAcentral is "lncRNA (ENSSSAG00000107117.1)". The record is from RNAcentral. Lineage: Eukaryota; Metazoa; Chordata; Actinopteri; Salmoniformes; Salmonidae.